GUUAGCCUGAGGCCCUUAGCAGGAUGAUGGCUGCUCGGCUAGUGGUGGGGCUUUCGCCUCUGGCCUCCACUCGCGUUCUCUCCCGGCCUCCCCGGCGACGGUGGACGCGUCCUGGGGCGACGCCGACGCAGCCUCCACACACACCUAUCCGAGCUGCAGGUCUUCCCCGUUGGGUGACGCGGGGUGAGGGGAGCGCGGCCGCUUUCCCCGAGAGCAACGACCACCCGGAUUCCCCACCCACUUUCCUCCCCCGCCCCCACAUUCUUCCCCUGUCUCCUUACGGCUUUGUCUUCCCUUUUCGGAAAUUCCUGACUACACACUUCGGGUCGGCGGCGGCCUCCACGAACCUCACGGGCGUCGCCCGUUGCUGGCGCGCUAUCCGAGUAAGCUGUCUCCUUCAUAGUGCCCACGUGCCCACUUUCCUAGGGAACGCGGACUGAUUAACCAGAACAGCACUGCCCAGUGGAACUUUCUUUGGUGAAGGAAAUGUUCUAGAUCUGCACUGUCCAACACAGUAGCCAUUAGCUGCAGGUGACCAGUGAACAUUUGAAAGAUGGCCAGUGCGACUAAGGAACUGACUGGACACAAGAGGCCUUCCACAAAUAUUUGUGAAGUAAAGGGGAAGCAGUGGAAGAAAAAAAAUCACAUAAAGGACUCUUUGUGACACAGCAGAAACGUGUUAAGCACCUAUCACCUCAGGCCUAGCCUGCAAUUGUCCUGGUAAGCCUCCCUGCACAAGGUCUCUCGUUCUGGAGCACCACCCCUGAAUCUCCUGUCACCUGUCAAGCUAGCUCCCCUGAGAUGUGCAGAACCAUAGGUGCCCAAUGCCCCCCGACAGCAGCUAGAUUUAGGAAACUACUAGACCAUGCAGAAUUGCAUGCCUGGGAGGUUUGCCCACAUGGGACUUAAGUUCCAGAGAGGAUGAGACACAGACCUAAGCCAGAGCCACAAAGAUGGGAAGAGACCUUAGGAGGCUGGAUCAACCCGGGGGGAAAGAAACCAUGUUGGGUGAAUACAAAGUGCUUGUGUUGCUGGGGACCUUCCAGGUAAGGUUUGGUUUAGUGACCUGUGCUCAUGGUUAGAAGGGAGGUUUUCACUGUAGAGAAUGAAAGGAAUGACGUGAAUAUGGAAAAGAAAAAAUAUUAAUGUUGAGCCAUCAGGCUAACAAAGGAGUCCAGGAAAGGGGGACAAAGAGUCAGUGAAGACUCUAGUCUAUGUUGUGGCAAACAGAAGGUCAUCACCAAAGAUGGGGCCAGGUGCAGGCUUCACAGCUGAAGACUGCCAGGUUGCUCCGAAGCCACUUUCAUGAGAGCAGAGAACAAAGGCGGGCAGAACACCCAAAGUUCUCCUUAUAAAGCCAGUACACUCUGAUACAGAAGUGUCCAAAAAUAACAAACAAAAAGAAGAAAACCACCUACAUCCCCAACCUAAUUUAUGAAUAUUGAUGCAAAAACCCUAAAAAAAUAAGUUAAGAGACACCAGCAACACAUUACAACAAGGGCACUUCUAUGAUUAUGUCACUGUUAAUUGUUCAAAUGAGAAAAUCCCCAUGGUCGCUUUGGAGGGGGGAAAUUGGGGCUAUUACUAAUUUUCAUUUAUUAGAAAGGGUGAGGUGACUAUUUCUUUAUCCAGAUAAAAACUGAUUUGAAUCACAGAAUCCAGCAGCACGCUUGUCAAAACCUAGAGACUUGCCCUUUUAAGUCUAAGACCGGAUACUCAAAUCAUCACACUCUCAGCCCAGUGUUUUGGAAGUACCAGAUAUGAUGACUGCAAUUACAUGAUCGUGCAAAUGAAGUAAAAUAAUACAACUGCCUCCUCCUUUAUACUUGCCAGUAAGAUGACUUUGUACUGAGAAAAUUGGUGAGACUCUAACAAAACUGUUACAAAUAAUAGAAUUUAGCAGCAUGACAGGUUCAUCUGCAACAACUAAGGAAGACUGCAAGGGAUGAUUAACCUGAGCAGAUUAACAGCAACUACAGUGAACUCCCAGCAGCACUUGGAAGGCCUGACUAGCACAGUGAGGUAAGCACAUCCCUCUGUACACCUGUGCCAAAACUCAACUGAGACCAGUUCUGCAUCAAGGAAUGUCUGAAUCCAAUCAAAGGUAAGACACGUUCUAACAAGAUUUUCUCAACGAAUCCUGACAAGCUGAUGGUGAGUUCAUUUGGUUGAAAACAGAUCUGUUGUUUUUUUUAAAUAAUGAGAGGAACUACCAUUUAUCCAAGUUUGUUGUAAAGUUACAAUAAGUACAGCAAUAUGGUGUUUACUCAGACACUGACAGAGACCAUGGGAGCAUAAGGGGCCAAGAAGGCCUGCACAUGGUGAUGACUAUGGGAAUUAAGUCUGUGAUAAAAACGGCGUUUCCAAUAAUGAGAAGAACCAAGUCAGAAAACGGUGUUGAAAAAACUUGUGCCCCACAUCAUAUACACAAGGAAACCCAGUUAUAGGAAACAGCUACCCCCCCACACAAAAAUACCAGAAUUGACAAAAGUAUUGGUACAACUUGCCUAUGUAUGACGUGAAACCUAGAAUAGGAGUAAAGACAGAUUUGAAAGAAAAAAUAUCUGAAAUCAUAAAACUUCUUUAUGGAGACUAAAUAAAGGUAAAAGAUAAAUGUUGGGGCUUCCCUGGUGGCGCAGUGGUUGAGAAUCUGCCUGCUAGUGCAGGGGACACGGGUUCGAGCCCUGGUCCGGGAAGAUGCCACAUGCCGCGGGGCAACUAGGCCCGUGAGCCACGGCGACUGAGCGUGCGCGUCUGGAGCCUGUGCUCCACAACAGGAGAGGCCGCGAUAGUGAGAGGCCCGCGCACUGCGAUGAAGAGUGGCCCCUGCUUGCCACAACUAGAGAAAGCCCUCGCACAGAAAUGAAGACCCAACAUAGCCAUAAAUAAAUAAAUAAAUAAAAAGGCCAAGCAUUUGAAGCCCUUUAAAAAAAAAAAGGUAAAUGUUGGACUGGUAUUUGCAGUAUUAACAUCCAUAACAUAUAGUAUAUAGAGUCCUCCUGACCACACACACACAAAAGACAAACCAAAUAGGAAAAGGGAAAAUACAUAAACUAACAAAACCAAAAAUACAAGUGAUCUGUAAACUUAUGAAAAUACAUGCAACUUCAUGAGGGAAAUAUGAACUAAACAUAUCUUUUCCCAUCACAUCUGAAAAUCUUAAAAGAGGACUAUAAAUCGCUGGUAUCUUAUGAAAAGGAAAAGCUCUCAUGUUCUUGAGCAGCUAUAUGUAUUUUAAAAGAUCUUAGCAGUUUGUUGCUACCAGAUUUUUUCACUUACGUCUUGGUUGAUUCUAAGUUCCAUUUCUAGAAAUCCUUACCUACAAAAAACCAACUUGAGUGCAAAAAAAAGUAUGCGAGGAAGUUUUUUGCAACAACUUGAAUGUCCAUCAAGAGUGAAAAAAUCAGGGCAUCCCUGGUGGUGCAGUGGUUAAGAGUCCGCCUGCCGAUGCAGGGGCCACGGGUUCGUGCCCUGGUCCGGGAAGAUCCCACAUGCCGCGGAGCAGCUGGGCCCGUGAGCCAUGGCCACUGAGCCUGAGCGUCCGGAGCCUGUACUCCGCAACGGGAGAGGCCACAACAGUAAGAGGCCCGCGUACCGCAAAAAACAAACAAAGUAAAAAAAUCAAAUGUGGACUACACUUGCAUUUGUUAAAAUGAAUGAUGCAGACCUGUCUGCACUGAGUAUGGAAACA
This is a long non-coding RNA of Lagenorhynchus albirostris (white-beaked dolphin), 3691 nucleotides long. RefSeq lists it as uncharacterized. Lineage: Eukaryota; Metazoa; Chordata; Mammalia; Artiodactyla; Delphinidae. The transcript has 4 exons. The record is from RefSeq and is a predicted model, not a curated record.